RNAcentral lists this ribosomal RNA (497 nucleotides) under uncultured bacterium. RNAcentral's name for it is "partial 16S ribosomal RNA". It matches the Rfam family "Bacterial small subunit ribosomal RNA", at positions 28 to 507 of the family's 1533-position model. The record is from RNAcentral.
GACGAACGCUGGCGGCGUGCCUAAUACAUGCAAGUUGAGCGCUGAAGGUUGGUACUUGUACCAACUGGAUGAGCAGCGAACGGGUGAGUAACGCGUGGGGAAUCUGCCUUUGAGCGGGGGACAACAUUUGGAAACGAAUGCUAAUACCGCAUAAAAACUUUAAACACAAGUUUUAAGUUUGAAAGAUGCAAUUGCAUCACUCAAAGAUGAUCCCGCGUUGUAUUAGCUAGUUGGUGAGGUAAAGGCUCACCAAGGCGAUGAUACAUAGCCGACCUGAGAGGGUGAUCGGCCCCAUUGGGACUGGGACACGGCACAAAAUCCUAAGGGGGGCAGCAGUAGGGAAUCUUCGGCCAUGGACGAAAGUCUGACCGAGCAACGCCGCGGGAGUGAAGAAGGUUUUCGGAUCGUAAAACUCUGUUGGUAGAGAAGAACGUUGGUGAGAGUGGAAAGCUCAUCAAGUGACGGUAACUACCCAGAAAGGGACGGCUAACUACGUG